GCACUGAAUGAGGUAGGGGCCAACACGGUUACUGAACUCUAUCAAACUACGAAUACCAAAUGUGUAAGAACAAGAGUCAGACUGCGGGAGCUAAGUUCCGUGGUCAAAAGGGAAAGAGCCCAGAUCGUCAAUUAAGGUCCCAAAGAUAUAGUUAAGUGGAAAACGAUGUGAUUUUGCGUAAACAACCAGGAUGUUGGCUUAGAAGCAGCCAUUCAUUCAAAGAGUGCGUAAUAGCUCACUGGUCGAGUGAAGUUGCGCGGAAAAUUACCGGGGCUAAACUAUACACCGAAAUUGCGGAUUUGCAUAGAAAUAUGUAAGUGGUAGAGGAGCAUUCUAUAGUAGGACGAAGCAUAAUCGAAAGGAUAUGUGGACGAGAUAGAAGAGAGAAUGCCGGAAUAAGUAGCGAAAGCAUGGUGAGAAUCCAUGCCAUCGAAAGUCUAAGGUUUCCUGGGGAAGGUUCGUCCGCCCAGGGUAAGUCGGGACCUAAGGAGAGGCCGAAAAGCGUAUCCGAUGGACAGCAGGUAGAAAUUCCUGCACUACGUAAUACUUAAAAGACAUAAAUGACACAGGAGUGGAAGAUAAGCGAGGAAGAGGAAAGACUCGUAUCGAAAGAUAUAGUGAAAAUUAAAGUAACGAAUUAUCAAGAAGCUAAUGGCGAGAAAAGUUUAUGGAUAUUGUAUUAAGUACCCGUACCGCAAACCGACACAGGUAGAUGAGGAGAAGAUCCUAAGAUGAGCGAGAGAAGCAUUGUUAAGGAACUCGGCAAAUUGACCCCGUAACUUCGGAAUAAGGGGUGCUGGAGUAAAAUCCAGUCGCAGAGAAUAGUCCCAAGCAACUGUUUAACAAAAACACAGGUUUCUGCUAAAUCGAAAGAUGAAGUAUAGGAGCUGACGCCUGCCCAGUGCUGGAAGGUUAAGGGAAAAUGUACCCGCACGAAAGGUGUAAUGAUUUGGGAGCUGUCUCGACAAUGUACUCGGCGAAAUUGUAGUACUAGUGAAGAUGCUAGUUACCUGCGACAAGACAGAAAGACCCCAUGGAGCUUUACUGCAGCUUGAUACUGGGUUUCGGUAAUUUAUGUACAGGAUAGGUGGGAUGCUAAGAAGUAUGUGCGCCAGCGCAUAUGGAGCAGACGUUGGGAUACCACCCUUAAAUUACUGGAAUUCUAACUAUAAGUCCUAAGCGGGCUUGAGGACAAUGUCAGGCGGGCAGUUUGACUGGGGCGGUCGCCUCCUAAAGAGUAACGGAGGCGCGCAAAGGUUUCCUCAGCGCGGACAGAAAUCGCGCGAAAGAGUGCAAAGGCAGAAGGAAGCUUAACUGAGAGACAGACAUGUCGACCAGAUACGAAAGUAGGUCUCGAUGUCGGCUCAUCACAUCCUGGAGCGGAAGUACGUUCCAAGGGUUGGGCUGUUCGCCCAUUAAAGUGGUACGCGAGCUGGGUUCAGAACGUCGUGAGACAGUUCGGUCCUUAUCUGUCGCAGGCGAAGGAUAUUUGAAGGGAGUUGACCUUAGUACGAGAGGACCAGGUUGAAGGAACCGAUGGUGCACCAGUUGUACUACCAAGUGCAUAGCUGGAUAGCUAAGUUCCGAAGGGAUAAACGCUGAAAGCAUCUAAGUGUGAAGCCCACCCUAAGAUAAGAUAUCCCAUAUCGAAAGAUAGUAAGAUUCCAAUAAGACUAAUUGGUAGAUAGGUUGGAGGUGUAAGUAUAGUGAUAUAUUGAGCUGACCAAUACUAAUAAAUCGAGGGCUUAACUA
RNAcentral lists this ribosomal RNA (1752 nucleotides) under human gut metagenome. RNAcentral's name for it is "bacterial LSU rRNA". It matches the Rfam family "Bacterial large subunit ribosomal RNA", at positions 907 to 2925 of the family's 2925-position model. The record is from RNAcentral.